RNAcentral lists this long non-coding RNA (1905 nucleotides) under Polistes fuscatus (common paper wasp). RNAcentral describes it as "uncharacterized LOC122513515". Lineage: Eukaryota; Metazoa; Arthropoda; Insecta; Hymenoptera; Vespidae. The record is from RNAcentral.
UGUCACGAAAGUCCUCUCGAGAAAGGAAAACCCGAAAUAAUCCGAGUAUUGUCGAAGACAACCGAGACCACGAGACCAUGUGGUUGAUAGCGGGAUGAUGACAGAGCGCUGUCAGUGUCAGUCCGACUAUCGUCGAGUACGGUUUACGUUAAUUUAAUGAAUUUUAAUUCGUAUUUUAUUGAUAUGUUUUUUAUUUCGUUUUUUUUUUCUUUCUUAUAAUUAAUUAACUAAACUCGCACACGUACCGAAUAUACCGAAUAUUCUUAUUAUUAAUUAACUUUUUAUAUUACAAUUUAUUAUUUUAAUAUAUAUAAUUUUAUAUUUUUUUUUAUAUAUAUAUAUAUAUAUACAUAAUCGAGAUCGAUCGCAGAACUAUCGAGUGAUAGAAGAAGUUUUUUCGAAGAGGAACACCAGCAGCAUUAGCAGGAGGAGGGGGAGGAGGAGAAGAAAGGAGGGUGGAUUUUUUUCGUCUAAAACAGUUCAUAGCAGUACGAGAUUAGGAGAUCCGUUCAAGGUUACGAAUCAUCGUUCAACAAAUACGACAUUUUGCUUCUUAACCGAUACGAGGUCAACGUGAAACUUACUACCACUGCUGUGCAUUUUUCUGUCCGUCUGUCCGUCUGUCUGCACGGCUGUUUAUCUCUCUCUUCUCUUUCUUCUCUCUCUCUCUCUCUUUCUCUCUCUUCCUCACACACGCACGAACACGAACACAAGCACAAACAACGUUUUAUACUUUCGAGGUGAGUCGGUUUAAUUCAAAAACGUUUCCAUUUUUGGAAAGAAACAUCUCGUUUACGAAUGAAACGAAAAAAUAUAAGCCAAGUUUUACACGACACAACCAGCAGCAGCAGCAGCAGCAUUUUACUUGAAUUGGUUUUAUUUUUUUUUAUUUUUAAAUAUAUAUGCGAUUAAUAUAUCCAACCAAAUGAUUACAUUUUCUUUCAGCGUAUAGUUGUCCAUUUAUUUUUUUGCUUUUUAAAAGUUGAUCUUUCGACGAACGCGCGGACAAACGUUUUUCCUCGACCUGGUUUUCCCAUACCGCAUAUAUCAAGAAUCCGACGAUUAGAUGCGAUAUUUGAUUAGUAUGACGUGCGCCAGCGCGCGUAUCUAUAAACAUGUUGUGUUUUUGUUUCUCUAAUGUGUAUAAUAUAAAAAUGUAUCGCGAGAGUUUCGCUUGAAAAGUAUUUUCGUUUUCGAAUUCUCUAUCGUGUAUUUUACGAAUUUGCAGACGCCCUCCUCCCCCCACCCCAUCCCCCUUCGCACUCCGUCUCCUCCCCCAUCCCACCCCCUACUACUCAACUUUUACCCACCUCCCCAGUUCGCGCAAGUUCAAAGCGUACGAGAAAAAGGGUUGUUUAUCAUUUAUUGGAUUGCAUAGCAUAUUUAUUGUUACACUUAACUUAAUCUCUUUGUUUCUCUCUCUCUCUCUCUCUCUUAUUUCUUCUCGUAAAUUUGUCGUUUACGAUCUUUUCGUAGAAAAAAAUUUCGCAUUGGGAAAGACGGUGGGACAAGUAUUUGGACAUUUAAAUAGGGUAGUUUCGAUCUAGAACAGAGUUUAAAGAGAACAAAAAGUAUAUAUAUAUAUAUCAUCGAGAAAUGCAUUGGAUGGGUGAGAUAAGGGUUGGGGGGAAGCGGGUGGUGGUGUGGUGAUGUAUACUUUAUGUGGGAACAAAGUUACGUUAUCAUCUUGUUUACGUUCUUUGUUUCCACCUCGGUUAGAAAAUAAGAUGGAAAAUAUAUAACUCUACCGUUCGGUUUCUUUAUCUUCGUUUAUCCGUAAAUCUAUGCGUGUAUGCGUGUUUUCAGUAUUGUACACAUUUAAGGAAAAUAGUUGGAAUGGUAUCGUUUAUGGUUGAACUUAUUGUUAAAGAAAAAGAAAUAAUAGAAGAAGAGAGAGAAGAAGAA